UACGGAGGGGGCGAGCGUUAUUCGGAAUCAUUGGGCGUAAAGGGCGCGUAGGCGGCCUAGCAAGUCAGGGGUGAAAUCCCUCGGCUCAACCGAGGAACUGCCUCUGAAACUGCUUGGCUAGAGACCGGGAGAGGGUAGUGGAAUUCCCAGUGUAGCGGUGAAAUGCGUAGAUAUUGGGAGGAACACCAGUGGCGAAGGCGGCUACCUGGACCGGUUCUGACGCUGAGGCGCGAAAGUGUCGGGAGCAAACAGG
Molecule: ribosomal RNA, 253 nt
Filed under: uncultured bacterium
Lineage: Bacteria
Description: partial 16S ribosomal RNA
Rfam family: Bacterial small subunit ribosomal RNA
Source: RNAcentral